Molecule: ribosomal RNA, 601 nt
Filed under: Desmophyllum dianthus
Lineage: Eukaryota; Metazoa; Cnidaria; Anthozoa; Scleractinia; Caryophylliidae
Description: eukaryotic LSU rRNA
Rfam family: 5.8S ribosomal RNA (bases 229-382)
Source: RNAcentral
AUUACCGAUGAUAUUAGUCCAACAACUACACAGUUGGACCUUGUGAACCGUACCAAACUAUUCAGGGGUCGGCUUGUCCGUUAAAUGGUCGUCGGACGCGAGAGAUCGCGGCCGCUCGACCGGCCCCGCACGCGUUUUGUUUUUUAUAAACAUAUGUGUACCUGUCUGACCAAGCGUUGCGGCCGGCCCRAGGGUCGGUCGCGGCAAUUAGAGCAAAAAACGAGAUACAACUUUUGACGGUGGAUCUCUUGGCUCACGCAUCGAUGAAGAACGCAGCCAGCUGCGAUAAGUAGUGUGAAUUGCAGAAUUCAGUGAAUCAUCGAAUCUUUGAACGCAAAUGGCGCUCUUGGGUUCUCCCAGGAGCAUGUCUGUCUGAGUGUCGGAUAUCAUCCAACGCACGCCAGCGUGCGGAAUUGAGGCGUCACGGUCCGUACUGCACGGACCGUGUCCCUUGAAAGUCAGAGAGACUCGCCGCGUCGCGGGAAGAUUCCCCGUGCACACCAGCGGAGGCUAAAAUGUCUUUUGCCCUUCGCGUGCCGGGAAGUCGCCGCGUGCGGCGGUCGUCGUCGGGCGAUCCCUAAUUAUCCUGCCCUCGACCCCU